AUUGAACGCUGGCGGCAGGCCUAACACAUGCAAGUCGAGCGGAUGAAGGGAGUUUGCUCCUGGAUUCAGCGGCGGACGGGUGAGUAAUGCCUAGGAAUCUGCCUGGUAGUGGGGGAUAACGUCCGGAAACGGGCGCUAAUACCGCAUACGUCCUGAGGGAGAAAGUGGGGGAUCUUCGGACCUCACGCUAUCAGAUGAGCCUAGGUCGGAUUAGCUAGUUGGUGGGGUAAAGGCCUACCAAGGCGACGAUCCGUAACUGGUCUGAGAGGAUGAUCAGUCACACUGGAACUGAGACACGGUCCAGACUCCUACGGGAGGCAGCAGUGGGGAAUAUUGGACAAUGGGCGAAAGCCUGAUCCAGCCAUGCCGCGUGUGUGAAGAAGGUCUUCGGAUUGUAAAGCACUUUAAGUUGGGAGGAAGAGCAGUAAGUUAAUACCUUGCUGUUUUGACGUUACCAACAGAAUAAGCACCGGCUAACUACGUG
This 484-nucleotide ribosomal RNA is filed under the name uncultured bacterium. RNAcentral's name for it is "partial 16S ribosomal RNA". It matches the Rfam family "Bacterial small subunit ribosomal RNA", at positions 30 to 507 of the family's 1533-position model. The record is from RNAcentral.